Molecule: small nucleolar RNA, 101 nt
Organism: Polyodon spathula (Mississippi paddlefish)
Lineage: Eukaryota; Metazoa; Chordata; Actinopteri; Acipenseriformes; Polyodontidae
Product: small nucleolar RNA SNORA26
Exons: 1
Source: RefSeq, a predicted model, not a curated record
UUGCCCAUUUAAGGCUGACUCUGCCUUUUUAGUGGCCAACAUGGGGGGGAUACAAUAGUUCUCAUAAACCGUUGCUUUGGAUCCUGUUGGGAGGUACAACU